Molecule: ribosomal RNA, 373 nt
Filed under: Chthonerpeton viviparum
Lineage: Eukaryota; Metazoa; Chordata; Amphibia; Gymnophiona; Typhlonectidae
Description: partial 16S ribosomal RNA
Rfam family: Bacterial large subunit ribosomal RNA
Source: RNAcentral
AAUUGUUUUUUAAAUAAAGACUUGUAUGAAUGGCAUGACGAGAGCUUGACUGUCUCCCCUGUUUAACCAGUGAAACUGAUCUCCUUGUACAAAAGCAAGGAUGUCUAUGUAAGACGAGAAGACCCUAUGGAACUUAAAACACACAAUCAACUACGGACCUUAAUUAAUAUUACAACCCCCUAUAGCCUGAUCUACUGUUUUCAGUUGGGGCGACUACGGAGCAUACAAACCCUCCGCGACCUUUACCUAACCUUACAAACCAAGGUACCAAAAAAUUGGAACAAUUGACCCAACCCGAUUGAUCAACGAACCAAGCUACCCUAGGGAUAACAGCGCAAUCUUCUUCUAGAGCCCUUAUCGACAAGAAGGUUUA